RNAcentral lists this ribosomal RNA (577 nucleotides) under uncultured bacterium. Its description in RNAcentral is "bacterial SSU rRNA". It matches the Rfam family "Bacterial small subunit ribosomal RNA", at positions 358 to 918 of the family's 1533-position model. The record is from RNAcentral.
GGAAAUCUCCAGGGGAUUGGGGGGGAUUCUUCCGGGGGGCAGGUAGUGUUCAACUUGAGGGAAUUGUGGGGUUCCUUGAAAGACACUGUUGUUCGAAAAGAAAGGCUUCUGGUUAAUACCUGGCGUGGAUGACGGUACCGGAAGAAUAAGCACCGGCUAACUACGUGCCAGCAGCCGCGGUAAUACGUAGGGUGCGAGCGUUAAUCGGAAUUACUGGGCGUAAAGCGUGCGCAGGCGGUUUGAUAAGACAGGCGUGAAAUCCCCGAGCUCAACUUGGGAAUGGCGCUUGUGACUGUCAGGCUAGAGUAUGUCAGAGGGGGGUAGAAUUCCACGUGUAGCAGUGAAAUGCGUAGAGAUGUGGAGGAAUACCGAUGGCGAAGGCAGCCCCCUGGGACGUGACUGACGCUCAUGCACGAAAGCGUGGGGAGCAAACAGGAUUAGAUACCCUGGUAGUCCACGCCCUAAACGAUGUCAACUAGUUGUUGGGGAUUCAUUUCUUCAGUAACGUAGCUAACGCGUGAAGUUGACCGCCUGGGGAGUACGGUCGCAAGAUUAAAACUCAAAGGAUGGGAGGGGG